Molecule: non-coding RNA, 156 nt
Filed under: Bacillus sp. (in: firmicutes)
Lineage: Bacteria; Bacillati; Bacillota; Bacilli; Caryophanales; Bacillaceae
Description: Bacillus sp. SAM-I sequence
Rfam family: SAM riboswitch aptamer (S box leader)
About the family: The SAM riboswitch is found upstream of a number of genes which code for proteins involved in methionine or cysteine biosynthesis in Gram-positive bacteria. The SAM riboswitch acts at the level of transcription termination control.
Source: RNAcentral
CUCUUAUCAAGAGCUGGCUGAGGGAUUUGGCCCAUUGAAGCCCAGCAACCGACCGUAAUACCAUUGUGAAAUGGGGCGCUUUUCUUCCGCGCCAGGAUAUCCUGUAAGGCACGGUGCUAAUUCCAACAGAAAGUUAAUCUUUCUGAAAGAUAAGAG